GACGAACGCUGGCGGCGUGCCUAACACAUGCAAGUCGAGCGGAGAUGUACUGAAGAUUUAUCGGAUGUACAUCUUAGCGGCGGACGGGUGAGUAACGCGUGGGCAACCUGCCUUCCACUGGGGGAUAACACAGGGAAACCUGUGCUAAUACCGCAUGACAUCACAUAGGGCAUCCUGUGUGAUCAAAGGAGUGAUCCGGUGGAAGAUGGGCCCGCGUCCGAUUAGCUAGUUGGUGAGGUAACGGCUCACCAAGGCGACGAUCGGUAGCCGGACUGAGAGGUUGGCCGGCCACAUUGGGACUGAGACACGGCCCAGACUCCUACGGGAGGCAGCAGUGGGGAAUAUUGCGCAAUGGGGGGAACCCUGACGCAGCGACGCCGCGUGAAGGAAGAAGGCCUCGGUGUAACUCUUGAUGAGGACGAAGGAAGUGACGGUACCGUCAAAACAAGACCACGGCCGUAACUACGUCGCCACGCAGCCGCCGGUAACGUAAGUCACGUCG
This 502-nucleotide ribosomal RNA is filed under the name uncultured bacterium. RNAcentral's name for it is "bacterial SSU rRNA". It matches the Rfam family "Bacterial small subunit ribosomal RNA", at positions 28 to 536 of the family's 1533-position model. The record is from RNAcentral.